Molecule: ribosomal RNA, 253 nt
Filed under: uncultured bacterium
Lineage: Bacteria
Description: partial 16S ribosomal RNA
Rfam family: Bacterial small subunit ribosomal RNA
Source: RNAcentral
UACGAAGGGGGCUAGCGUUGUUCGGAAUCACUGGGCGUAAAGGGCGCGUAGGCGGCUUUGUAAGUCGGGGGUGAAAGCCUGUGGCUCAACCACAGAAUUGCCUUCGAUACUGCAUGGCUUGAGACCGGAAGAGGUUAGUGGAACUGCGAGUGUAGAGGUGAAAUUCGUAGAUAUUCGCAAGAACACCAGUGGCGAAGGCGGCUGACUGGUCCGGAUCUGACGCUGAGGCGCGAAAGCUAGGGGAGCAAACGGG